GCAGCACGGGGGCAAUCCUGGUGGCGAGUGGCGAACGGGUGAGUAAUAUAUCGGAACGUGCCCAGUCGUGGGGGAUAACGCAGCGAAAGCUGUGCUAAUACCGCAUACGAUCUAUGGAUGAAAGCGGGGGAUCGCAAGACCUCGCGCGAUUGGAGCGGCCGAUAUCAGAUUAGCUAGUUGGUGGGGUAAAAGCCCACCAAGGCGACGAUCUGUAGCUGGUCUGAGAGGACGACCAGCCACACUGGAACUGAGACACGGUCCAGACUCCUACGGGAGGCAGCAGUGGGGAAUUUUGGACAAUGGGCGCAAGCCUGAUCCAGCAAUGCCGCGUGCAGGAUGAAGGCCUUCGGGUUGUAAACUGCUUUUGUACGGAACGAAACGGCGAGCUCUAAUAAAGCUCGCUAAUGACGGUACCGUAAGAAUAAGCACCGGCUAACUACGUGCCAGCAGCCGCGGUAAUACGUAGGGUGCAAGCGUUAAUCGGAAUUACUGGGCGUAAAGCGUGCGCAGGCGGUGAUGUAAGACAGAUGUGAAAUCCCCGGGCUCAACCUGGGACCUGCAUUUGUGACUGCAUCGCUAGAGUACGGUAGAGGGGGAUGGAAUUCCGCGUGUAGCAGUGAAAUGCGUAGAUAUGCGGAGGAACACCGAUGGCGAAGGCAAUCCCCUGGACCUGUACUGACGCUCAUGCACGAAAGCGUGGGGAGCAAACAGGAUUAGAUACCCUGGUAGUCCACGCCCUAAACGAUGUCAACUGGUUGUUGGGUCUUCACUGACUCAGUAACGAAGCUAACGCGUGAAGUUGACCGCCUGGGGAGUACGGCCGCAAGGUUGAAACUCAAAGGNANUUGACGGGGACCCGCACAAGCGGNGGAUGAUGUGGNUUNAAUUCGAUGCNACGCGAAA
Molecule: ribosomal RNA, 903 nt
Filed under: uncultured bacterium
Lineage: Bacteria
Description: bacterial SSU rRNA
Rfam family: Bacterial small subunit ribosomal RNA
Source: RNAcentral